Long non-coding RNA from Corylus avellana, 416 nucleotides. RefSeq lists it as uncharacterized. Lineage: Eukaryota; Viridiplantae; Streptophyta; Magnoliopsida; Fagales; Betulaceae. The record is from RefSeq and is a predicted model, not a curated record.
UUUUAUUUUUUCCCCCCAAAACCUUUCCCUGUCCUCCUCUCCCACACUUCUCCCUCCCGCCUUCUCCCAUCACCAAGCACUGCCGCCACCCAACAGACUGCCACCCAUGGCACCAACUCAAAAUCCGAAGACGCCACCCAGCCGCCACCGGCGACGCCCGGUGAGUUGGAGAAGAGACAUGGUUUGUUGCUGCAAAGAGAGUUAUUAUCAAUGAUGAUAAGAUGAAUAAAAAUGAGAAACGCUUGAAGUUGCAUUGAGAAACUCUCGGAUUGUAACCUUUUUGAUUGUUUGUACCUCUUUGAGGAUGAUGAAAAAAAACAAAUUAUUUAUAUUUCUUGAAGUUGAUUUUAUGUAAUACUUGAAAUUAUAGAGUUUGUUAAAAUGAACAAAUGAUUUUGGUUGCUUCUUUAAUCUUA